This 418-nucleotide long non-coding RNA is filed under the name Medicago truncatula (barrel medic). RNAcentral describes it as "lncRNA gene40210". Lineage: Eukaryota; Viridiplantae; Streptophyta; Magnoliopsida; Fabales; Fabaceae. The record is from RNAcentral.
AUCAAAUCUCAUUUCAUUAAAAUCAUCCUAGAGUACAAAACCACAACUAUAUGGUCCAUGAAAAACAUAAAUUAUCCCCUGGUUGCUCAUGGAAUUUUCUAGUAGAAUCUAACAAUACUCAAAUACAGUAACACUCGCCUGGUUGCUCUCCACGCCACCCAAUUCCAUCAAAAAACCCACAUUUAGGGUUCGUUAAAGGCGCGCAUGUCCAAAACAUACAAUCCAGGUCUUCAAAACAUACACCAACUGUGAUAAAAGUUGAAUAAAUGAUGUUAGUGAAAUGAGAUAAAAUAUUAUGUAGAAAGUAUUUUAGAAAACUUGAGUCGGAUAAAAAAUGGCAUACAUAAUUGACUGCUCGUUGCAACAACAAAUGGAAAAAUAAAGAUAAUCAUAACAAAAACAAGCAUGACAAUUUUAG